AGGCAGCAGAGCACAUCACUGGCACGAGGCUUCCUGCCAUUCAGGACAUUUAUCUCCAGCGAAUCCUCCGUAAAGCACACAGCAUCAUCAAGGACCACAGCCACCCAGCACAUCAGCUCUUCUCCUUGUUACCAUCUGGCAGACGUUACAGGAGUCUGUCUGCUCGGACUACAAGACUUAAAAACAGUUUUACCACCAAGCCAUACGACACCUCAACCACAACACUUAAACACACACAACACAGCACUCAGAAGCUACCCUGCAGCUUCACAAGUACUCUGUUUAAUCUGCACUGGUCACUUCACUUUAUUGUUAUUGAUAUUUAUAUUUAAAAAGUGCAAUACUGUAAUUUUCUGCUGCUCAUUCCUGUGCAAUAUCCCAUCUGCAUACAUAUAUAUUUAGUCAUCUUUUCUCUUUUACCAUGUCUCUCUAAUAUUUUGCUCUUUACUAUUUUUUUAUUUUUUAUUUUAUUUUAUUUUAUUAUAUUUUGUUAUAUUUUCUCCUACUGUAUCAUGCUGCUGAGUGACUGCUGCUCGUCAAACACAUUUCAUUGCAAUGUUGACCCUGUGCUAACUUGGAUAUGACAAAUAAAACUGAAAACUGGGAAUCCCCGGCAGCCUACGUCUAUUGCAGCAUAACUAAGGGAGGAUUCAGGGUCACCUGGUCCAGCCCUAACUAUAUGCUUUAGCAAAAGGAAAGUUUUAAGCCUAAUCUUGAAAGUAGAGAUAGUGUCUGUCUCCCGAAUCCAAACUGGAAGCUGGUUCCACAGAAGAGGGGCCUGAAAACUGAAGGCUCUCCCUCCCAUUCUACUUUUAAAUACUCUAGGAACAGCAAGUAGGCCUGCAGAGCGAGAGCGAAGUGCUCUAAUAGGGUGAUAUGGCACUACAAGGUCAUUAAGAUAAGAUGGGGCCUGAUUAUUUAAGACCUUGUAUGUGAGGAGCAGGAUUUUGAAUUCAAUUCUGGAUUUAACAGGAAGCCAAUGAAGGGAGCCAAAACAGGAGAAAUAUGCUCUCUCUUUCUAGUCCCUGUCAGGACUCUUGCUGCAGCAUUUUGGAUCAGCUGAAGGCUUUUCAGCGAGUUUUUAGGACAUCCUGAUAAUAAAGAAUUACAGUAGUCCAGCCUGGAAGUAAUAAAUGCAUGAACUAGUUUUUCAGCGUCACUCUGAGACAGGAUAUUUCUAAUUUUAAAGAUAUUGCGCAAAUGGAAGAAAGAAGUCCUACAUAUUUGUUUAAUAUGUGCGUUGAAGGACAUGUCCUGGUCAAAAAUGACUCCAAGGUUCCUCACAGCAUUACUGAAGGCCAAGGUAAUGCCAUCCAGAGUAAGAAUCUGGUUAGAUACCAUAUUUCUAAGAUUUUCAGGGCCAAGUAUAAUAACUUCAGUUUUAUCUGAAUUAAGAAGCAGAAAGUUAGCGGCCAUCCAGGUCUUAUGUCUUUAAGGCAUUCCUGCAGUUUAACUAAUUGGUGUGUGUUACCCGGCUUCAUGGAUAGAUAGAGCUGCGUGUCAUCUGCAUAGCAGUGAAAAUUUAUGCUAUGUCUUCUAAUGAUGCUGCCUAGGGGAAGCAUGUAUAAUGUAAAUGAAUUGGUCCUAGCACCGAACCCUGUGGAACACCAUAAUUGACCUUAGUGUGUGAAGAGGACUCUCCAUUUACUUGAACAAAUUGGAGUCUAUUAGACAGAUAUGAUACAAACCACUGCAGCACAGUACCUGUAAUACCUACAGCAUGUUCUAAUCGCUCUAAUAGGAUAUUAUGGUCAACAGUAUCAAACGCAGCACUAAGGUCUAGCAGGACAAGCACAGAGAUGAGUCCACUGUCAGAGGCCAUAAGAAGAUCAUUUGUAACCUUCACUAAAGCUGUUUCUGUGCUGUGAUGAGCUCUGAAACCUGACUGAAACUCUUCAGAUAAGCCAUUCUCUGCAGAUGACCUGUUAGCUGUUUGACAACUACUCCAACACUUC
This 1955-nucleotide long non-coding RNA is filed under the name Oreochromis niloticus (Nile tilapia). Its description in RNAcentral is "lncRNA (ENSONIG00000032524.1)". The record is from RNAcentral. Lineage: Eukaryota; Metazoa; Chordata; Actinopteri; Cichliformes; Cichlidae.